RNAcentral lists this ribosomal RNA (253 nucleotides) under uncultured bacterium. RNAcentral describes it as "partial 16S ribosomal RNA". It matches the Rfam family "Bacterial small subunit ribosomal RNA", at positions 524 to 776 of the family's 1533-position model. The record is from RNAcentral.
UACGUAGGGUGCAAGCGUUGUCCGGAAUUAUUGGGCGUAAGGAGCUCGUAGGUGGUUUGUCGCGUUGUUCGUGAAAACUCACAGCUCAACUGUGGGCGUGCGGGCGAUACGGGCAGACUAGAGUACUGCAGGGGAGACUGGAAUUCCUGGUGUAGCGGUGGAAUGCGCAGAUAUCAGGAGGAACACCGGUGGCGAAGGCGGGUCUCUGGGCAGUAACUGACGCUGAGGAGCGAAAGCGUGGGGAGCGAACAGG